Kogia breviceps (pygmy sperm whale) is the source of this 1555-nucleotide non-coding RNA. The record is from RefSeq and is a predicted model, not a curated record. NCBI's taxonomy places the organism in Eukaryota, Metazoa, Chordata, Mammalia, Artiodactyla, Physeteridae.
UUCUCAUGAAAUGCGCUUCCUCUCACUGGAUUUCUGCCCUGGGGUGUGUGGGGUUCAAGGCAGAACGCUGGCUGCUUCUUGGUGACUGAGGCUUCAAUUCUGGUUUUUCAAUUCUCUGUCUCUGAGUCCACUGUAAGGUAGACCUCCUCCCGCACCCUUUUGAAAACAAGUCACUUGCAUUGCUAUUUAUAUGCUUAUGGCACCUGGCUUUCCAGGAGGCUGAAGGCAUGGUGGGGGGGGAAAGGGCGUUGGCUUUGCAGUCUCUCCCGUGGACUAGCUGGGUGACCUUGGACCUGUGACAUGCCUUCUUGAGACUGUUUCCACAUCUGUGAUGAGACAUGCCCACUGUGUAGUGUGAUACAGGGGUCACAUGAGGAGGCCGGUGUGAAACGCUGGGUGGCUUGGGGGGACGGUGGGGGAGUACAUGGUAGCUGUUCUUAAGCGACCCCGUAGCUCACCCCAGGGCCUAUGGGACCAGCGAAGAAAGCCCAGUGAGGUCAAGAAAGUGCACACCCUGAGCCUGGCGAGCCUGCUUGCUGCCUUAACAUCUGGGGAGAAAACAUUGGAAGAAAGGCAAUAUGGAUGGGGCUGGAGGGGGUUCCUGUUUCUCCAGGGAGACGGAGGACCGAGGCUAACGAGAUCAGGAGACUUCCUGAAGGACACACGUCUAGGAUGCAGCAGAGCUGGGGUGUAGAUCUGCAGCUUCUGACUCCCAAGAGCCUGUGACAUCGCAGGAAAGCAGCCUUGGGUCUUGAAUGAGUUUGGGGCCUGUCCCUGAUGGCCUGGCCUCUGCAGAGAUGUCUGGAGGUAGGAAUGGGUGAUAACACCACCCCCCGGGUACAGAGAGAUGUGAUGACCAUCUGUCGGUUUUCCCGACCCAAGGUCCACAGCCCUUCUUUUCUUUCCUUCGGGGGAUGACUUCUCCCCACCUCCUGGGAUUCACAUGGGCCCACUCGCCAUCCACUGGCUUUAGAGGCAGGCAUGUGUCCCAAGCUGGACACUGAGACUCCCUCUUGGGACUUUUGCAGCAACUCUGGGAAAAGAGGCAUUCACUUUUCAUGGGAGUUGCCACAUUGAUGGAACUCCUGCUCUCCACUUGAGGAUGGAGCCAAGUGGUAGAGAAAGUAUGCUGUCCCCAGACCUCAGCAAGCCCCUGGAUCCAGCCAUGCCUGAAGCUAACCAUACCUCUGGAUUAACCUGAUUAUAUGGGCCAAUGAAUGCAUUUCUUUUUUUCUAAAACUAUCCUGAGUUGGAUUUCUGUCAUUGAAAGAGUCCUAUUAAAGCUCUGUUUUUCUUUGGUCUCACUUAAGAAAUCCACUUUGAGGUAUCCACCCACUUUAAGUGUCUAAUUCAUAAAUUUUUUCAAAUGUGUACACCCUUGUAACUACCACCACAGUCAAGCUAUAGAACAUUUCAAGUUCCCUCAUUCCCCUUUAUGGUCAAUUCUCCUGACCCCAAGCAACCACUGACCUGCCUUUGUUGUAGAGAUUCAUUCAGUCUUCUCUCUGGUCAAGUCCCUGGAGGUCGAGGAGAGCGUUUCUCUGAUGCUCAUGUU